RNAcentral lists this non-coding RNA (28 nucleotides) under Homo sapiens (human). Lineage: Eukaryota; Metazoa; Chordata; Mammalia; Primates; Hominidae. The record is from RNAcentral.
UACAUUGGUUUGGCCCAAAAAGGUGGGC